Molecule: long non-coding RNA, 102 nt
Organism: Etheostoma spectabile (orangethroat darter)
Lineage: Eukaryota; Metazoa; Chordata; Actinopteri; Perciformes; Percidae
Exons: 3
Source: RefSeq, a predicted model, not a curated record
UAGGGUUGGGUACCGAAAAGCAGUGCUAAUAGGGCACCGGUUCCAACGUAAACAAUACUAACGAGACCGAAUAAGAACAAAAAUUGUGGUGCAUUUAAAGUU